This 1233-nucleotide ribosomal RNA is filed under the name Triticum aestivum (bread wheat). RNAcentral's name for it is "partial small subunit ribosomal RNA". Lineage: Eukaryota; Viridiplantae; Streptophyta; Magnoliopsida; Poales; Poaceae. The record is from RNAcentral.
AUGGAUCACCCUGGAAAUGUCACUCGUCAUGAUCACACAAUCGACAUACCAAGGAAUGAUCUGAUGUCGCCGUCAACAUCCCGUCCGGACAAUCAUAAUCACUUGGAUGAGUUGAACCACAACAGAGGUCCUUCAAAUGAAGUUCCUCCUGUCCCAGAAAGUUCUGGCACAGCCGGUAUGCCUGACUUUCGAAGCGCAUCUUUCGUGAGAAGGGAUCAAGUCAAUCGUCAGCAGAAUCCUUUGAAUUCUGGCUUAUGGAUCUCAAUCGAGCUUAUUGUAAAUGUUAGUCAGAUUAUAGCAGCUGCUACUGUCCUGUCGGUAUCAAGGAAUGAGCAUCCACGCGCUCCACUAUUUGAGUGGGUUGUUGGCUAUAUAAUAGGUUGUGUUGCUACUAUUCCACAUCUUUAUUGGCGCUAUCUCCAUCGCAAUUGCCAGAACAUCGAGCAAGAACCAUCAGCCCAGGGUUCAUCUCAAAGGAACAUAUCCGAGUCUGAUUCUUUUGCAGCAAUUUCAUCUGCUCAUGCAUCAGAAGCUGUAAAUGAAGAUAACAACACUGGAGUCCCAAGAAACAAUUUCCCGAUUGCAAGUCCAAGGGUCUACGCAUUGGUUGCGUGCUUGAAGUUGGCCUUGGAUUGUUUCUUUGCCGUGUGGUUUGUUGUGGGGAAUGUGUGGAUAUUCGGUGGCCGCUCUUCCGUCCAUGACGCUCCUAACUUGUACAGGCUGUGUAUAGUGUUCCUUGCAUUCGGCUUCAUCGGCUAUGCACUGCCUUUCAUCCUGUGCACGAUGAUAUGCUGCUGCCUGCCCUGCAUAAUCUCCAUGGUAGGCUUCCACGAGGAUCUGGAUAUGAACAAAGGCGCUACCGCAGAAGUAAUCAACACGCUGGUGGCGUACAAGUACAAGUCGAUGAGGAUCCGCGACGGAGGAGAUGUGGGGGAAGACAAUGGUGGCGUUCUGGCAUCUGGAACUGACAAGGAGCGGACUAUCUCCGCGGAAGACGCCGUUUGCUGCAUCUGUUUGUCAAGGUUCUCGAACAACGAAGAUCUGCGAGAGCUUCCCUGCGGGCACGUCUUUCACAUGGAAUGCAUCGACAAGUGGCUCAAGAUCAACGCGCUGUGCCCUCUCUGCAAGUCCGAGCUGGGCGGCUCAACGGCGGCAUCUCCUGAGGCUGGCCCCGAGGGCCAACACCAACAGAAUGAGAACAGGGAAGGAGGCGACGUCGAGUCACAGCGGUAG